GCAAGUCGAGCGGCAGCACAGAGAAACUUGUUUCUCGGGUGGCGAGCGGCCUUUGGGUGAGUAAUGCCUGGGAAAUUGCCCUGAUGUGGGGGAUUUCCAUUGGAAACGAUGGCUAAUACCGCAUGAUGCCUACGGGCCAAAGAGGGGGACCUUCGGGCCUCUCGCGUCAGGAUAUGCCCAGGUGGGAUUAGCUAGUUGGUGAGGGGGGGGGUCACCAAGGCGACGAUCCCUAGCUGGUCUGAGAGGAUGAUCAGCCACACUGGAACUGAGACACGGUCCAGACUCCUACGGGAGGCAGCAGUGGGGAAUAUUGCACAAUGGGCGCAAGCCUGAUGCAGCCAUGCCGCGUGUGUGAAGAAGGCCUUCGGGUUGUAAAGCACUUUCAGUAGGGAGGAAGGUGGUAGUGUUAAUAGCGCUAUCAUUUGACGUUACCUACAGAAGAAGCACCGGCUAACUCCGUGCCAGCAGCCGCGGUAAUACGGAGGGUGCGAGCGUUAAUCGGAAUUACUGGGCGUAAAGCGCAUGCAGGUGGUUUGUUAAGUCAGAUGUGAAAGCCCCGGGCUCAACCUGGGAAUUGCAUUUGAAACUGGCAAACUAGAGUACUGUAGAGGGGGGUAGAAUUUCAGGUGUAGCGGUGAAAUGCGUAGAGAUCUGAAGGAAUACCGGGUGGGCGAAGGCGGCCCCCUGGAC
This 690-nucleotide ribosomal RNA is filed under the name uncultured bacterium. Its description in RNAcentral is "bacterial SSU rRNA". It matches the Rfam family "Bacterial small subunit ribosomal RNA", at positions 57 to 734 of the family's 1533-position model. The record is from RNAcentral.